AUACGGAGGGUGCAAGCGUUAAUCGGAAUUACUGGGCGUAAAGAGUACGUAGGUGGUUUAUUAAGUCAGAUGUGAAAGCCCCGGGCUCAACCUGGGAACUGCAUUUGAAACUAGUAGACUAGAGUAUGGUAGAGGGGGGUAGAAUUUCUAGUGUAGCGGUGAAAUGCGUAGAUAUUAGAAGGAAUACCAGUGGCGAAGGCGGCCCCCUGGACCAAUACUGACACUGAGGUACGAAAGCGUGGGUAGCGAACAGGAGUAGAAACCCCAGUAGUCC
This 274-nucleotide ribosomal RNA is filed under the name uncultured bacterium. Its description in RNAcentral is "partial 16S ribosomal RNA". It matches the Rfam family "Bacterial small subunit ribosomal RNA", at positions 523 to 796 of the family's 1533-position model. The record is from RNAcentral.